UGCGUAGGCGGACCAAUAAGUCAGUGGUGAAAUCUUUCGGCUCAACCGAGAAACUGCCAUUGAUACUGUUGGUCUUGAGUUCGGUAGAGGUAGGCGGAAUGUGUAAUGUAGCGGUGAAAUGCUUAGAUAUUACACAGAACACCAAUUGCGUAGGCAGCUUACUAUGCCGACACUGACGCUGAGGCACGAAAGCGUGGGGAGCGAACAGGAUUAGAUACCCUGGUAGUCC
Molecule: ribosomal RNA, 229 nt
Filed under: uncultured bacterium
Lineage: Bacteria
Description: partial 16S ribosomal RNA
Rfam family: Bacterial small subunit ribosomal RNA
Source: RNAcentral